GGAUUGGCGCAUCGGUCGUGCCUCACGGGGUAUGAACUGGUGCAGUCAAUUUCUCACCUUCUGGUGAGUCGGCAUGUCCUUUAUUGGGUGUGUCGGGGAACCAGGACCAUUACCUUGAAAAAAUUAGAGUGUUCAAAGCAGGCGUAUGCUCGAAUACAUUAGCAUGGAAUAAUGAAAUAGGACGCGUGGUGCUAUUUUGUUGGUUUCUAGAACCGCCGUA
RNAcentral lists this ribosomal RNA (220 nucleotides) under Campeiostachys nutans. RNAcentral's name for it is "Elymus nutans partial small subunit ribosomal RNA". The stretch from base 31 to 220 matches the Rfam family "Eukaryotic small subunit ribosomal RNA", at positions 673 to 864 of the family's 1831-position model. Lineage: Eukaryota; Viridiplantae; Streptophyta; Magnoliopsida; Poales; Poaceae. The record is from RNAcentral.